UCCCAGACUCCUACGGGAGGCAGCAGUGAGGAAUAUUGGUCAAUGGGCUUACGCCUGAACCAGCCAAGUCGCGUGAGGGAAGACUGCCCUAUGGGUUGUAAACCUCUUUUGUCGGGGAGCAAAAGCCGGACGUGUCCGGCUGUGAGAGUACCCGAAGAAAAAGCAUCGGCUAACUCCGUGCCAGCAGCCGCGGUAAUACGGAGGAUGCGAGCGUUAUCCGGAUUUAUUGGGUUUAAAGGGUGCGCAGGCGGAUUUUUAAGUCAGCGGUCAAAUCGUGGGGCUCAACCCCAUCCAGCCGUUGAAACUGGGGAUCUAGAGUGUGCGAGAGGUAUGCGGAAUGCGUGGUGUAGCGGUGAAAUGCAUAGAUAUCACGCAGAACUCCGAUUGCGAAGGCAGCAUACCGGCGCCCGACUGACGCUGAAGCACGAAAGCGUGGGUAUCGAACAGGAUUAGAUACCCGGGUACG
RNAcentral lists this ribosomal RNA (466 nucleotides) under uncultured bacterium. Its description in RNAcentral is "bacterial SSU rRNA". It matches the Rfam family "Bacterial small subunit ribosomal RNA", at positions 329 to 793 of the family's 1533-position model. The record is from RNAcentral.